UGAGUAACACGUGGAUAACCUACCUAUAAGACUGGGAUAACUUCGGGAAACCGGAGCUAAUACCGGAUAAUAUUUUGAACCGCAUGGUUCAAAAGUGAAAGACGGUCUUGCUGUCACUUAUAGAUGGAUCCGCGCUGCAUUAGCUAGUUGGUAAGGUAACGGCUUACCAAGGCAACGAUGCAUAGCCGACCUGAGAUGGUGAUCGGCCACACUGGAACUAAGACACGGUCCAG
RNAcentral lists this ribosomal RNA (233 nucleotides) under uncultured Staphylococcus sp. RNAcentral describes it as "partial 16S ribosomal RNA". It matches the Rfam family "Bacterial small subunit ribosomal RNA", at positions 107 to 334 of the family's 1533-position model. The record is from RNAcentral. Lineage: Bacteria; Bacillati; Bacillota; Bacilli; Caryophanales; Staphylococcaceae.